Long non-coding RNA from Gallus gallus (chicken), 967 nucleotides. Lineage: Eukaryota; Metazoa; Chordata; Aves; Galliformes; Phasianidae. The record is from Ensembl.
AAUUACCAGAGCUGGCUCCUCUCCUUCAGACAUGUCAGAGCCACCAGCUAGCCGAAUAGGCAAGCAGUGUUUGAUUGACAUCAUUUUUCUUAGAUUUGUGGACUUCUGGGAGAGAACUGGUUGAGCUUAUUCCAAGCAACAAGAGUGACAGCAAGCUGUGAACAAAGCAGCUGUGGGGCGAAAGGAAUAUGGAGAUCAUUACUUGUGCCUUGGCUGCUUGCAGAGUCACCCUCCAACGAGCAGUGGUUUGUAUUAGCAGCCCCAGCCUGCAAAACGUGAUCAGAUACAGCCCAUAUGAACACCACAUCUCUGUUCCAAUGCAGCGCUGGCCCCGAGCCAUCUUGAGAUAUUUGCUAUGCAGACCAGCUCUGGAAGCUUGCAAAGACUGCAUCGCUUCUCCAUUGGCUCUCCCAGGGGCCACUCCAUGAAUCACGACUAUGGGAAAGAACACAAAAGAGGUGGAUUUGGGCAGGAGGGGGUAAAUGGAUAUCGGCAGCGCUCUGGGAAGGUCAGCUGGAGGAAGGAGAGGUCAGGACAGAGAGAGCAUGGAUCAGAUAACGGGUCAGACGUGGUGAAAUAAAGGACAGGAAAUUCAUAUUUGUUACAGGAGAAAAGGAGGAAGCGAGGGAAGGGGGAUGAAACGGGCGAGGAUACGGUUGAGUUGCCAGCCUGAGGAGUUGUGAAGUGGAAGGAGGAAAUUUGUUUUAAUUUUUUUUUUAACGCAGAUGGGCUGGAGUGCAGCGUCCCACCAACUGAAAGCCACGUCAGGAAACGGUGCUCCAGCAAAGAAAAACGACAAAAAAAAAGUUGUUAUUUUUCUUAGUAGGAAUAUUUCGCAUCUCUUUGAAGCUUCUCUCGUAUUAACAAAUGACCUGAGCGAUUUAUGAAAAGCACUUAACAGAUUGCUGUGGUCAGACAAAGCACACGCUUGGCCCGCAACUGUUAUUUCAUUAAAAUACUGAUUCCU